Molecule: unclassified non-coding RNA, 216 nt
Filed under: Hevea brasiliensis (rubber tree)
Lineage: Eukaryota; Viridiplantae; Streptophyta; Magnoliopsida; Malpighiales; Euphorbiaceae
Source: RNAcentral
GGGAACUGCUCCGGCCACUGCACAUCCUUGAGGAUCAGCUCGACGGGGGAGACUCCCUGUUGGGGGCGGGCGGAGGCGGAGGUGGCGGCAACGCCGCCGCUGACGGAGGCCGCCAGGCCGAGAAAGAAGCGGCGGGACGGUGUGCGGCGGCGGGCGGCGGGAGUGGGGCCCGCGGUGGCGGGGAGGGAGAAAGUGGGGAGUCGCGGGGGUGCUCUU